Molecule: microRNA precursor, 102 nt
Filed under: Marmota monax (woodchuck)
Lineage: Eukaryota; Metazoa; Chordata; Mammalia; Rodentia; Sciuridae
Source: RNAcentral
AGUGGAAUAGCUGGGUCAAAUGGUGGUUCCUUUCCAUGUUUUCUAAGGAAUCCUAUACUGCUUUCCAGAUUGGUUGCACCAAUUUGCAGUCCCAAUAACAAU